Molecule: ribosomal RNA, 253 nt
Filed under: uncultured bacterium
Lineage: Bacteria
Description: partial 16S ribosomal RNA
Rfam family: Bacterial small subunit ribosomal RNA
Source: RNAcentral
UACAGAGGUCCCAAGCGUUGUUCGGAUUCACUGGGCGUAAAGGGUGCGUAGGCGGUCGGGUAAGUCUGAUGUGAAAUCUCACAGCUUAACUGUGAAACUGCAUUGGAUACUAACCGGCUCGAGGAAUGGAGGGGAGACUGGAAUACUUGGUGUAGCAGUGAAAUGCGUAGAUAUCAAGUGGAACACCAGUGGCGAAGGCGGUUCUCUGGGCAUGUCCUGACGCUGAGGAGCGAAAGUGUGGGGAGCGAACAGG